RNAcentral lists this ribosomal RNA (989 nucleotides) under uncultured organism. RNAcentral's name for it is "bacterial SSU rRNA". It matches the Rfam family "Bacterial small subunit ribosomal RNA", at positions 252 to 1275 of the family's 1533-position model. The record is from RNAcentral.
GUGAGGUAACGGCUCACCAAGGCGAAGACGGGUAGGGGGUGUGAGAGCACGACCCCCCACAAUGGGACUGCGACACGGCCCAUACUCCUACGGGAGGCAGCAGCAGGGAAUAUUGCGCAAUGGACGGAAGUCAGACGCAGCGACGCCGCGUGGGUGAGGAAGGCCUUCGGGUUGUAAAGCCCUUUUCUGGAGGGCGAGGCAGGACGGUACUCCAGGAAUAAGCGUCGGCUAACUACGUGCCAGCAGCCGCGGUAAGACGUAGGACGCAAGCGUUAUCCGGAUUUACUGGGCGUAAAGCGCCUGUAGGCGGCGGGAUAAGUCGGAUGUGAAAGCCCCGUGCUCAACGCGGGGAAGCCAUUCGAUACUGUCUGGCUAGAGAGCGGGAGAGGGAAACGGAAUUUCUGGUGUAGCGGUAAAAUGCGCAGAGAUCAGAAGGAACACCGAUGGCGAAGGCAGUUUCCUAGGCCGUAUCUGACGCUGAGAGGCGAAAGCUAGGGGAGCGAACAGGAUUAGAGACCCUGGUAGUCCUAGCUGUAAACGCUGGAUGCUAGGUGUGGGCCAGAGCGGUCCGUGCCGGAGUUAACGCGAUAAGCAUCCCGCCUGGGGAGUACGGCCGCAAGGCUAAAACUCAAACGAAUUGACGGGGACCCGCACAAGCAGCGGAGCGUGUGGUUUAAUUCGAUGCUACACGCAGAACCUUACCUGGGCUUGACAUGUAGGUGGUAGUGAAGUGAAAGCGGAGCGACCCUUCGGGGAGCCUACACAGGUGCUGCAUGGCUGUCGUCAGCUCGUGCCGUGAGGUGUCGGGUUAAGUCCCGUAACGAGCGCAACCCUUGUCCUUAGUUACAAGUGUCUAAGGAGACUGCCGGUGACAAACCGGAGGAAGGUGGGGAUGACGUCAAGUCAGCAUGGCCCUUAUGUCCAGGGCGACACACACGCUACAAUGGUCGGUACAAAGGGCAGCGCAGCCGCGAGGUGAAGCGAAUCCC